CGGCCGUCACCCACAGAAGGGCCCGCGGCGCAUUAGCUAGUUGGUGAGGUAAACGGCUUCACCAAGGCGAACAUGCGUAGCCAACCUUGAGAGGGUUGAAUCGGCCACACUGGGACCGAGAACACGGCCCAAAAUUCCUUACGGGAGGGCAAGCAAGUUAGGGAAAUCUUUCCGCAAUUGGACGAAAAGUUCUUGACGGAGCAACGCCGCGUUGAGCGAUGAAAGGCCUUUCGGGUCGUAAAGCUUCUUGUUUGUCAGGGAAAGAUACAAGUAUCGGAGUAACUGCCGGUACCUUUGACGGUACCUGACCAGAAAGCCACGGCUAACUACGUGCCAGCAGCCGCGGUUAAUAA
Molecule: ribosomal RNA, 353 nt
Filed under: Mesobacillus boroniphilus
Lineage: Bacteria; Bacillati; Bacillota; Bacilli; Caryophanales; Bacillaceae
Description: bacterial SSU rRNA
Rfam family: Bacterial small subunit ribosomal RNA
Source: RNAcentral